RNAcentral lists this ribosomal RNA (465 nucleotides) under Vreelandella stevensii. RNAcentral describes it as "partial 16S ribosomal RNA". It matches the Rfam family "Bacterial small subunit ribosomal RNA", at positions 338 to 795 of the family's 1533-position model. The record is from RNAcentral. Lineage: Bacteria; Pseudomonadati; Pseudomonadota; Gammaproteobacteria; Oceanospirillales; Halomonadaceae.
CCUACGGGAGGCAGCAGUGGGGAAUAUUGGACAAUGGGGGCAACCCUGAUCCAGCAAUGCCGCGUGUGUGAAGAAGGCCCUCGGGUUGUAAAGCACUUUCAGUGAGGAAGAACGCCUGGUGGUUAAUACCCAUCAGGAAAGACAUCACUCACAGAAGAAGCACCGGCUAACUCCGUGCCAGCAGCCGCGGUAAUACGGAGGGUGCGAGCGUUAAUCGGAAUUACUGGGCGUAAAGCGCGCGUAGGUGGCUUGAUAAGCCGGUUGUGAAAGCCCCGGGCUCAACCUGGGAACGGCAUCCGGAACUGUCAAGCUAGAGUGCAGGAGAGGAAGGUAGAAUUCCCGGUGUAGCGGUGAAAUGCGUAGAGAUCGGGAGGAAUACCAGUGGCGAAGGCGGCCUUCUGGACUGACACUGACACUGAGGUGCGAAAGCGUGGGUAGCAAACAGGAUUAGAUACCCGUGUAGUC